RNAcentral lists this ribosomal RNA (921 nucleotides) under uncultured Methylobacter sp. RNAcentral describes it as "bacterial SSU rRNA". It matches the Rfam family "Bacterial small subunit ribosomal RNA", at positions 77 to 997 of the family's 1533-position model. The record is from RNAcentral. Lineage: Bacteria; Pseudomonadati; Pseudomonadota; Gammaproteobacteria; Methylococcales; Methylococcaceae.
CCUUCGGGCGCCGACGAGUGGCGGACGGGUGAGUAACGCGUAGGAAUCUGCCUCAUAGUGGGGGACAACGUGGGGAAACUCACGCUAAUACCGCAUACGCCUACGGGGGAAAGCGGGGGAUCUUCGGACCUCGCGCUAUGAGAUGAGCUGCGUUAGAUUAGCUAGUUGGUGGGGUAAAGGCCCACCAAGGCGACGAUCUAUAGCUGGUCUGAGAGGACGAUCAGCCACACUGGGACUGAGACACGGCCCAGACUCCUACGGGAGGCAGCAGUGGGGAAUAUUGGACAAUGGGCGAAAGCCUGAUCCAGCAAUACCGCGUGUGUGAAGAAGGCCUUAGGGUUGUAAAGCACUUUCAAUUGGGAGGAAAACCUACCGGUCAAUACCCGGUAGCUUGACAUUACCUUUAGAAGAAGCACCGGCUAACUCCGUGCCAGCAGCCGCGGUAAUACGGAGGGUGCGAGCGUUAAUCGGAAUUACUGGGCGUAAAGCGUGCGUAGGCGGUUCGUUAAGUCAGAUGUGAAAGCCCUGGGCUCAACCUGGGAACGGCAUUUGAAACUGGCGGACUAGAGUUUAGUAGAGGGGAGUGGAAUUUCAGGUGUAGCGGUGAAAUGCGUAGAUAUCUGAAGGAACACCAGUGGCGAAGGCGACUCCCUGGACUAGAACUGACGCUGAGGUACGAAAGCGUGGGUAGCAAACAGGAUUAGAUACCCUGGUAGUCCACGCCGUAAACGAUGUCGACUAGCCGUUGGUCCUAUUUACAGGAUUAGUGGCGCAGCUAACGCAUUAAGUCGACCGCCUGGGGAGUACGGCCGCAAGGUUAAAACUCAAAUGAAUUGACGGGGGCCCGCACAAGCGGUGGAGCAUGUGGUUUAAUUCGAUGCAACGCGAAGAACCUUACCUACCCUUGACAUCCAGGGAAUC